GAGAUGGUGGGGGAGGAGGAGGUGGGGGUGGCGGCGGUGGUGGUGGACUUGGAGGUGGUGGGGAUGGUGGGGGAGGAGGCGGCGGUGGUGGAGGUCUUGGAGGCGGUGGAGAUGGCGGGGGAGGAGAAGGAGGCGGCGGCGGUGGAUGCUUUGGAGGCGGUGGAGAUGGCGGAGGGGGAGAAGGAGGAGGUGGCGGCGGAUACCUUGGAGGCGGUGGUCGUGG
Molecule: long non-coding RNA, 223 nt
Organism: Andrographis paniculata
Lineage: Eukaryota; Viridiplantae; Streptophyta; Magnoliopsida; Lamiales; Acanthaceae
Exons: 3
Source: RefSeq, a predicted model, not a curated record